This 836-nucleotide non-coding RNA is filed under the name Salamandrina perspicillata. Its description in RNAcentral is "partial 12S ribosomal RNA". It matches the Rfam family "Bacterial small subunit ribosomal RNA". The record is from RNAcentral. Lineage: Eukaryota; Metazoa; Chordata; Amphibia; Caudata; Salamandridae.
GGUUUGGUCCUAGCCUUACUAUUAAUUACAGCUACACUUACACAUGCAAGUCUCAGCACACCCGUGAAAAUGCCCUCUGAAACUAUAAAGUGAUUGAGGAGCGGAUAUCAGGCACAUAUGCCAAAGACAUCUUGUAAAACCACACCCCCAAGGGAACUCAGCAGUGAUAAACAUUGGAAAAUAAGCGACACAAGCUUGAACCAGUAAAGGCUAACAGAGUUGGUAAAUCUCGUGCCAGCCACCGCGGUUAUACGAGAAACUCAAGUUAAUAAAUACGGCUUAAAGGGUGGUUAGAGAACAAUUAUUAAUAGAAUUUAAAACUAGCUCUGCUGUCGCACGCAAUAGGUAAACAGAAACCCAAUAUCGAAAGAAAUUCUAACAAAAUAAACUUGAACCCACUACAGCUAGGAAACAAACUGGGAUUAGAUACCCCACUAUGCCUAACCAUAAACUUUGAUUAAUCCGCCAGAAUACUACGAGCAACAGCUUAAAACUCAAAGGACUUGGCGGUGCUUUAAACCCACCUAGAGGAGCCUGUUCUAUAAUCGAUAAUCCCCGAUAAACCUCACCAUCAAUUGCUAAUUCAGCCUAUAUACCACCGUCCAGCCCACCCUUUAAAGGAUAAACAGUAGGCACAACUGCAAUCACAAAAACGUCAGGUCAAGGUGUAGCUAAUAAGAUGGGAAGAAAUGGGCUACAUUUUCUAUACUAGAAAAAUACGGAAGAUCUUAUGAAACUAACUUAUGAAGGAGGAUUUAGUAGUAAAAAAGGAUAAGAGUGCCUUUUUUAACAUGGUAAUAAAGCGCGUACACACCGCCCGUCACCCUCUUCGCCCA